UAACACCUUCACGGCGCUUCAGCUCUCUCAGCAAGCAACACAAAGCGGCACACCUACUUUUCAAGCUCACCUUCCCCGUUGCUGCCGACACCCCACUGCCGACGCUGUUUCUGCUGACCGCUAUCCUUUCUCUCGUGCAACCAGCCCAUUGAGGGCACUGCCCGCAGCCAUGAGCGACAAGUUGGAGGCGAACAGGCGGCGCUCAAACUCUUUGUCGGAGGAGCCGGCACGCCAGGAUGCAAAGAAUGUCAUGGAGGACGAGGGAGACGCUCCGCCGUUCAUGUCGGCGAGCAACGCCAAGGUUAUGUUGGUGCAGGCCAUUGGUGGCAGCCUCAACGGCUACUCGAUCGGCUUUGUCGGCGUGUACUCAACGCUGUUUGGCUACAGCACGAACUGCGCGAACUUCCGCAGCGAGAGAGGCUGCACGACGGCGCCGAACGCCGACUGCCAGUGGUUUCCGAACGCGACUGGCACCGGCUACUGUGGCUGGCCCGAGAUCACGUGCCGCAGAACAUACACCUACUCGAGUGCUUCGGAAAUGCCGGGUGCGAUUACCCAGUGCGAGGCAGACCCGCGGUGCAGGUGGUCCUACAGCGCCAAGGAGUGCCAGAACCCGUCGGGCUACUCGUCGUCGGAAAGCGGUAUCUUCGCCGGCUCGAUGAUUGCCGGCUGCUUGAUCGGCUCCGUGUUUGCUGGCCCGCUUGCGUCGACGAUUGGCGCGAGGCUCUCGUUUCUGCUCGUUGGCCUCGUGGGUGUUGUGUCGUCCGUGAUGUGCCAUGUGUCGACCUCCGAGAACGAGUUUUGGGUGCUGAUUGUCGGCCGCUUCGCGAUUGGCCUGUUCCUGGGCGUGAUCGGUGUUGCGUGCCCUGUGUACACUGACCAGAACGCGCACCCGAAGUGGAAGCGCACGAUUGGUGUGAUGUUCCAGGUGUUCACGACACUGGGCAUCUUCGUUGCGGCGGCGGUUGGCCUUGCACUUGGCCAGAGCAUCUGGUUUGACCGCGACAAGGACCAGAUGGUGAUGGCGCGCAUGCAGGGCCUGUGCGCAUUCUCGACCCUGUUCAGCCUGCUGACGAUCCUGCUUGGGAUUGUGAUGAGCGAAUCGCGCGCGAAGUUCGGCGGCGACGAUGAGGAGGGCGGCAUUGAGCUGGACCCGAACGAGUACGGCUACGUCGAAAUGAUCCCGCGCCUGCUGAUGGGCGCCGUGAUGGCUGGCACGCUGCAGCUGACUGGCAUCAACGCUGUGAUGAACUACGCGCCGACGAUCAUGGGCAGUCUUGGCCUGGCGCCGCUGGUGGGCAACUUCGUUGUGAUGCUGUGGAACUUCGUGACGACGCUUGCGUCGAUCCCGCUCUCGUACGUGUUCACGAUGCGCCAGCUGUUCCUCUUCGGCUCGCUCUUCACGUCGAGCAUGUGCCUGUUCAUGUGCGGUAUUCCCGUGUACCCUGGUGUCAGCAAGAAGACGGAGGUGAAGAACGGCGUGGCCAUCACUGGCAUCCUGCUGUUCAUUCUCGGCUUCGAGGUGUGCGUGGGCCCGUGCUACUACGUUCUGACGCAGGACAUGUUCCCGCUGUCGUUCCGCCCGCGCGGUGCGUCGUUCACGCAGGUGACCCAGUUCAUCUUCAACCUGAUCAUCAACGUGUGCUACCCGAUCGCGACCGAACACAUCUCUGGCGGCCCUUCAGGCAACCAGGACAAGGGCCAGGCCGUUGCCUUCAUCUUCUUCGGCUGCGUGGGCAUUAUCUGCUUCAUCGUCCAGGUCUUCUUCCUGCACCCGUGGGACGAGAAGCGCGAUGGCAAGAAGAGGGCGGCGGCUCCGGCUGACGGGAAGAAGGAGCUGAGCGGGGAAUUCAUUGCGAAGAAAGACAUUUAAAUAAUAUCCCAUGGGCCGAAGCAGUUUGUGUGCCGUUUCGUGGGCAGGUGGUGCGUACUGGUUCGCAGCAAUGUUUUUUCGGGUUUUGUUUUUCUCGCUGCUCUUUUGAUGCCGUCCUCUGUCAAGUUGUAUUGUCGGGAUCUGCUGUGUCACGUCGCCAUCUGCGGCGUGUGUCACGAUAACUGACGGAGCUAACGCGACGGUGUUGUUUUCGUCAUCUAGUUUCUGGUCGUUUCGUUCGCGGUGUAUGCCCAUCGAAUGCUUUGUCUUGUGUGCAGCGAUCGUGGUGAGCCUGCACGACACACCUGUUUUGUAGGAAGGGCGCGUGUGCCGAGAGAAAAUAGCGAAGGGCGGGGUAUGAGAGGAAGCCAAGCACAAAGGAUGGUUAGAGUUUAUAUCCGAUCACUAACAUGCCUCUGUGCAGCACCCGCUCUGCGUACGUGAAUCGGAAUGUACUUGUGUAACGGCACACAAGCCAAAAUGAAAAACAAAAACAUCCCUGCUCAUGCCUUUUUUUUGCUGUUUUUGGUUCCUGGCAUCAUCUUCGUGCCCUCUGCUCCUUCACGAGCACCCCCCAUCCUGCUUCUUCCAUAUGUGUGCGCUUGUAGGCCGACCACACUUGCAAUUCACCUGUUCGGCACUCGGGACCCGAGUGCGGGUCAGGGUGAUCGACUUUUUUUUCACCGAGGCGCAUGCGCGGCUUUAUUACGCCGACGACUUGAGGAGUCGUUCCCUAGUCUGCGCUCCCUUCUCAGCGCACGAAUGGGAUGUGCUGCCAUGUUUCCCAUAUCCUUUCCGUUGUGACGAAAUGGAGGAGGACCCGUGACUUAGCGACAGUAGUUCGGUACCAAACGAUGCCCUCUUGUGUGUGUGUGUGCUUUUGCUUGCUUCGUUGUUCUCUUUUUCGUGAACAAACAAAAAGUUUUUUUUUGUCGCUCUUGUUUUUGCUCUCUUGUGCGUCUGUAUUUAAAUGUACAUAUAUAUAUAUAUAUAUGUGUGUGUGUGUGUGUGCGUAAAGAGGGAAAAGGGGUGAGUGGUGCGUGUGCUUGUAUGUGGAUGGGGCACUCGUAUUGUUUGCGUAUGCUAGAGCUCCCCGCUGUCUUCCUAUCUUCUUUGUAAGUCAUUCUCGCUUCUUGUUUUUCCCUCGCCUUGCUUCACCUUGUGGGACGAAUUCGUCGGCGGGGCCCAUCGUUUUUAUCCCCCAUCACUUUAUUUUCACGCGCAGGUGCACUGCAUGGCCACCCCCUCGUAUAUUUGAGUGUGCGGUUGUGCUGGGGCUCCGAAGAAGGCGUUUGGAGAGGGAGGAAACUGCGCCGCACGCGAAUUUUUUUUCGCGCAGGCUGCAAGGCAGAAAAGCAAACAAAUGAUAAAAGAGCCGCCCACAUGCUAGCGCGUCUAUCCUGUCUCUUCAGGACAGCUGCUUUGCCGAAGAUAACCUCUCUUUGGUUAACUCAGUAUUCUCUGUCGCUCCAGCGCUCUACAGAUCGCAGCUGUUCGCAGGCGCAUUCAUUAUGUCGAGGCGAUGCGCUCUCCUUUUCUCUCUCGCACGCACAGAAGAGACCCCACAAUGCCCAAAGAAACACCAGCGCCACAACGAAAACAAGAGCGAAAAAAAAGUAUACUCAUCGCGCUACCCCAUAGGAAGGGGUUUCCUUAUCAUAACCGCCACUUGUUUUGUUUGCUACUCAGCGAAAAAAAAACGCACAUCCUUCCGUUUCACAGAGAAACAAAGGAAUACCUGCUUGUCUGCGUGCGUUUGUGGUCUGCCUCUUUUUCUUACCUACCUCGAUAUGAGUGCCCCUCAACUCUUUAGUAGUGACCCCUCUCUUCCCCUUUUGUUCCAGGAGCUGAAGUGAAACAAUGCAAUAGAAAAAAAACAAAGGAUAUAUACAGCGCCAGUGUCCCCACGCGUCCGACGUGCUUUAGCUGGUUCGUGCAAGCUUCAGCCUACCACUUUCCGCCUUCUGUUUUUGUACGUUCUCCACACAUGUUUGCCGUUUUAUUGCUGUUGUCUGCGCUUAUGUAGUUCCUCUUCUGUAUCUCUCUGCCUGACGCACACAGGCACUCCGUUACGUGCUUCAUCUCUCUGCCUUUUUCCCCAUCCGUGGUGGUGGUGUUGGCCGUCUCUUUCUUUCUCUCUGCUUCUUUUCCUUUACAUGUCUGUGUUGCCCCAGUGCUUUCUCCUUUCCUCCCCGUCAAUUCUUCCCUUUCUCUCAGCCCCCACUACACCCACCCCACCCCCACACCACAACACACAUGCGUCACAUUUUCCCCCUUCCUUUUCUGCUUUGUUUGUUGCGUAGGGACUGAUAGAGGUGGCUCUUCGGUGCAUCUAUAUGUGUCGAUGCGUCCCUGAUGCCUUCGCACUCUCCCUCUUUUUUUGUUGCCCACCAUAUAUAUAUAUAUAUAUAUAUAUAUAUGGCUUUUGCAGUGAUGCAAAAUGCAGGUGCUGGUGCAUGUCUCCGACAGGGCUACGAAGGAGCCGCUUGGUCUUCUGCCCCCCUCCUCCUCCUCUGAAUGUCGUGAUGAGGCGACAGCUCUGUGUUUUCGUUUCCGCUCUCGGCGCCUCUUCUGCAUGUUUGUUUGCUCACUGAAUCGCGUGCUGCUGUUGCCUUGUCUGCUGCUGUUUCUUGCAGAAGCAGUGAGGUCUCGGUGAGAUGGGACGAGGCUGGAACUCGUGACACGGCGGAGGCAAGAAAUCUACAAUCACAGCGUUCCACAAUGAAGGCGACAGCGAUAGGCAAGGGACAAGCAGCGCCGGAGGAGGAAGGGGAUGGCAAGAAGGACAGAGGAAAAAGAAACCGACCUGCAGGAUUAUAUUUACGCGAACGAUUUUAAUACAAAAAAAAACGAAACAAAAACACAUUCAAAAAUGAAAACUUUAGAGAGCAAGGUAACGAAAAAAAAGUAAGAGCAUCGCUGCCUUACUAUGUGCCUCUUUGAAAGAAACCCCAUCGCUUCACUGCCACGAUCGCGCUUUUUCUUUAUCCCCCUAUUGCGUUUUUUUUUUUGCUCGCACCAGAGACGUCUUCUUUAUCCAGCACACAUAUAACAACACGCAUGCAUUGCUACGCUUGUUUUGUUUCACUUUUCGCUCGUUUUGUAUGUGUGUUCCUGAGCUCAUCUCUUGAAACUUCUCACUCUUUUCCUUUUGUUGUUUUUUCCGCUCCUUCGCUUUCGCUCUCUCUCUGUGUAUGACUUCCCCCUCCUCUUCUCCUCCCCCUCGUCCACAUGUCGAUGUCGACUUCGUCUUUUUUUUUUUCGUUUCGGGGUUUUUGAUUCCACUUGAGCCACGGAAGGAAACACACACGUUCUUUGCUCUGUCCACCCUUCUUUUCUUUUUGUUUCCUUCGAUGUUAGUGCCCGACUGCUAUUACGGAAGUAGGAGCCAAAAGAGUGGAAAGCAGUCAAAAACAAAGUAGAUGUGAGGAAGCUCUAUACCCCUAUGCGUAUAGUGGGCACUCGAGUCUCUCCCCUCACCCCCGUUGCUAUGCCCCUUCCUCCUCUUGCUUUCUGUGUCUAUCACGAGGGGGCACGAAGGACGGAAGGGGGCAUCACGCAGGCUGAUAUACCAUUCUCUCAUACAGCCCAAACAGCAAGAUGAAAGCGAACGACUAAAACAAAAGAGUGAGAGAGAGAGAGAUCAAACAACUGUGGCAGAACCAACGAUGAACACCAUCAGGCGUCGCGCGAAGAAGCUACCGAGGGCUCGGCGUACGCCUAGCGGGCAGGAGGAGACAGAAGAAAACGGUAAGAGACGCUUUGGAGAGGGGCGCCAAUUGACCACACACACACACACAGAUUCACGAGCUUGCUCUCGUGUGAGGUAGAGAGGAGCACGCGAAGAAGCCGAAAAAGAAAGGGGAGGAGGCCCCUUCGGAGAGGCCCACUUCAACACCCCCCACUUUCCCGCUGGAACACACCAGCCCUGGGUCUGAACAAAGAAGAGUACAAAAAAGGGCAAGGAAGGAAGGCGCAGGAGGAUUCUUGAAACGAGAGCGAGCGAGCGAACAAGAACAGAAAAGCGCCGUGCAUUCAGAAUAAUCUCAGCCAAGAUGCACCGAAAAGCAGCACUGCCGGCAACGCGUUGCUGCUCUUUUUCUUGUUUUUGUUCCCUCUGGUGUUUCAUGUGACUGACGUUUUCCCCCUUACGCCUCCCGUCGUUGUGUCUUUCUGCGCAUUACUCUUGCUCCCCCAAACCCGAGGCUCGAGACAAACGUAGGUGGGCGAACGAAUGAGCAGCACUGCUCUUUUUCGUGUCGCUCUUUAGCCUUUUCGUUGCCUCCCCCCUCCAUCCCUCUCUCGCUGUCAAUGUGUUGCUCGGCCCUCUUCUCGCGUUUUGUCAUUUUUGUGUGUGCGUGUGCGCGUGUCUGCCCUUCACGAGAGAGCUGAACGUGCGCACAGUGUCUCCUCGUCCUCCUCCACGCACUCUCCUGCUCACUACAUCCGUUAGCGAAACGCUUUCCUUUGCCGCCGACAACUAAGAGCAGCCACAAACACAAAGAAGGGCAAGAGGUGGAAGAUGAUAGUAAUAGGAGCACAGCAAAGAGAGACGGGGGGAAGGAACGAAGGAGAGAAGGAUCGCGCACGUGCGCAAGGCGCCAAACCACACGGCAGCAUACGCAGAGCGAGAGGGACACACGCUCGAGCCCGAACUUCUUUCCUCACGCUCUUUUCACUUCUCCGCACCCUCCUUUAUUCUCUCCUCCGAUCAGCAAAGCAGCGAGCUGGUUUGUGUUGCUGCUCUUGUGUCUCUCCCCACCACCGUUCUCCAUCUGCACAGGUUGCAUUCAUGGACAGCUUCGGAGUUGUCCUCUUCACCUCUUCACCUCUUGCCUUUCGCUCAUUUGCGUGGGACUGCCACGCCCGUUUUUUUUUUUUCGCUCUCGUGGCGCUGUUUGUUUUCUUCUUCCGUGUAUCUUGUCAGUGCCUUUUUCGUCUCGUAACGUCUGCAUUCGACUGUAGUGAUGCCACAACAACUGCAAUGGCAUGAGCGAUGCAACCCG
Molecule: unclassified non-coding RNA, 6879 nt
Filed under: Leishmania donovani
Lineage: Eukaryota; Euglenozoa; Kinetoplastea; Trypanosomatida; Trypanosomatidae
Description: gene:LdHU3.36.8650(CDS-product:glucose_transporte r_2)
Source: RNAcentral